GCUAAGCAGGUUUGGGCCUGGUUUGUACUUGGAUGGGAGACCGCCUGGAAAUACCAGGUGCUGUAAGCUU
Molecule: ribosomal RNA, 70 nt
Filed under: Carassius langsdorfii (Japanese silver crucian carp)
Lineage: Eukaryota; Metazoa; Chordata; Actinopteri; Cypriniformes; Cyprinidae
Source: RNAcentral